RNAcentral lists this ribosomal RNA (117 nucleotides) under Alloiococcus otitis. Lineage: Bacteria; Bacillati; Bacillota; Bacilli; Lactobacillales; Carnobacteriaceae. The record is from RNAcentral.
UGUGGUGAUGAUGGCCAGAAGGACCCACCUGUUCCCAUGCCGAACACAGUCGUUAAGCUUCUGAGCGCCGAGGAUAAUGCAGGGUUUCCCUGUGUGAAAGCCGGACGUUGCCACGCU